AGUGAACGCUGGCGGUAGGCCUAACACAUGCAAGUCGAACGGCAGCACAGGAGAGCUUGCUCUCUGGGUGGCGAGUGGCGGACGGGUGAGGAAUACAUCGGAAUCUACUCUGUCGUGGGGGAUAACGUAGGGAAACUUACGCUAAUACCGCAUACGACCUACGGAUGAAAGCAGGGGACCUUCGGGCCUUGCGCGAUUGAAUGAGCCGAUGUCGGAUUAGCUAGUUGGCGGGGUAAAGGCCCACCAAGGCGACGAUCCGUAGCUGGUCUGAGAGGAUGAUCAGCCACACUGGAACUGAGACACGGUCCAGACUCCUACGGGAGGCAGCAGUGGGGAAUAUUGGACAAUGGGCGCAAGCCUGAUCCAGCCAUACCGCGUGGGUGAAGAAGGCCUUCGGGUUGUAAAGCCCUUUUGUUGGGAAAGAAAUCCAGCUGGCUAAUACCCGGUUGGGAUGACGGUACCCAAUGAAUAAGCACCGGCUAACUUCGUGCCAGCAGCCGCAGUAA
This 506-nucleotide ribosomal RNA is filed under the name uncultured bacterium. Its description in RNAcentral is "partial 16S ribosomal RNA". It matches the Rfam family "Bacterial small subunit ribosomal RNA", at positions 29 to 523 of the family's 1533-position model. The record is from RNAcentral.